GGCGCCGUGGUCCAUGGGUGAAGAUGCUGCACUGGCGAUGCGGUGAGGCGGCUUCCAGUCCCGCCGGCGCCG
Molecule: transfer RNA, 72 nt
Filed under: Candidatus Viadribacter manganicus
Lineage: Bacteria; Pseudomonadati; Pseudomonadota; Alphaproteobacteria; Hyphomonadales; Hyphomonadaceae
Description: Caulobacteraceae bacterium OTSz_A_272 tRNA
Rfam family: tRNA
About the family: Transfer RNA (tRNA) molecules are approximately 80 nucleotides in length. Their secondary structure includes four short double-helical elements and three loops (D, anti-codon, and T loops). Further hydrogen bonds mediate the characteristic L-shaped molecular structure. tRNAs have two regions of fundamental functional importance: the anti-codon, which is responsible for specific mRNA codon recognition, and the 3' end, to which the tRNAs corresponding amino acid is attached (by aminoacyl-tRNA synthetases). tRNAs cope with the degeneracy of the genetic code in two manners: having more than one tRNA (with a specific anti-codon) for a particular amino acid; and 'wobble' base-pairing, i.e. permitting non-standard base-pairing at the 3rd anti-codon position.
Source: Rfam by way of RNAcentral